GAUCGGCCCGCGUCUGAUUAGCCAGUUGGUGGGGUAACGGCCUACCAAGGCGACGAUCAGUAGCUGGUCUGAGAGGAUGAUCAGCCACACUGGGACUGAGACACGGCCCAGACUCCUACGGGAGGCAGCAGUGGGGAAUAUUGGACAAUGGGCGCAAGCCUGAUCCAGCCAUGCCGCGUGAGUGAUGAAGGCCUUAGGGUUGUAAAGCUCUUUUAUCCGGGACGAUAAUGACGGUACCGGAGGAAUAAGCCCCGGCUAACUUCGUGCCAGCAGCCGCGGUAAUACGAAGGGGGCUAGCGUUGCUCGGAAUCACUGGGCGUAAAGGGCGCGUAGGCGGUCUUUUAAGUCGGGGGUGAAAGCCUGUGGCUCAACCACAGAAUUGCCUUCGAUACUGGGAGACUUGAGUUCGGAAGAGGUUGGUGGAACUGCGAGUGUAGAGGUGAAAUUCGUAGAUAUUCGCAAGAACACCGGUGGCGAAGGCGGCCAACUGGUCCGACACUGACGCUGAGGCGCGAAAGCGUGGGGAGCAAAUAGGAUUAGAUACCCUGGUAGUCCACGCC
Molecule: ribosomal RNA, 560 nt
Filed under: uncultured bacterium
Lineage: Bacteria
Description: bacterial SSU rRNA
Rfam family: Bacterial small subunit ribosomal RNA
Source: RNAcentral